UUUUUGCAGAGGCUACACUGAGGAGCAAACCUGCCCUCGUAGCACGGCACACAGUAGUAGUUGUUAUUGUCUGGAAUGAAGGCCUCUGCACCAAUCGGCUUCUCACAGCCGUGACACACAAAACAGUCCUCGUGCCAUGAGGAGCCGCCGUACUCCAACAUCUUCGAUCCUGUCAGACGAAAAAAGUGUAAGAGACAGAGCAGAACAGCAGCAAUGGAAACUGAGACGCCACGCACUUGGAGGAAAACUCGUUGCAGUAGCAGUCGCUGCACACCAGCGCGUCUUCCUGGCUGGUGAAGGGCUCGUCUGCCAGAGAGCGGUCGCAGCGGAAACAACGAAAACAGUGAGCGUGAUAAUGUCUAUUCUCAUAGAAGAGCUCCUGGGGGGAAAGGAGAGGACAGUGUCAAACUGAGCACUGAGUAAAACCAGUCAGGAUUAAGAUGGUCCAAUAAUAAAGACAAUAAAGAAAUGUUUUAAAUGAG
Molecule: long non-coding RNA, 482 nt
Organism: Micropterus dolomieu (smallmouth bass)
Lineage: Eukaryota; Metazoa; Chordata; Actinopteri; Centrarchiformes; Centrarchidae
Exons: 2
Source: RefSeq, a predicted model, not a curated record